UACGUAGGGGGCAAGCGUUGUCCGGAUUUAUUGGGCGUAAAGAGCGUGUAGGCGGCCAGGUAGGUCAGCUGUGAAAACUCGAGGCUCAACCUCGAGACGUCGGUUGAAACCACCUGGCUAGAGUCCGGAAGAGGAGUGUGGAAUUGCCGGUGUAGUGGUGAAAUGCGUAGAGAUCGGCAGGAACACCCGGGGGGAAGCCGGCCGACUGGGCUGGUACUGACGCUGAAGUGCGAAAGCGUGGGGAGCAAACCGG
Molecule: ribosomal RNA, 253 nt
Filed under: uncultured bacterium
Lineage: Bacteria
Description: partial 16S ribosomal RNA
Rfam family: Bacterial small subunit ribosomal RNA
Source: RNAcentral